CGGCGGCGGCGGCCAGUCUUCCGUUUCUGCUUUUUGUUUUUUUGGUUUUUUUUUUGAUACACAGUCUCAAACUAGCUCAGGCUAGCCUCAGACUCACUGGAGGAUGACCUUGAGCCCUCGAUCCUCCUGCCUUUACUUCCUAACCGUUCACCAAGUGCUAGGAUUUACAGCAUGGAUAGGCGUCCAGGAAUACUCCAUAAUGAGCCAGGCAAUGUAUCUACUUUGGAUGUCACAAUUUGGUCAGAGACAGAGGCCAUCACAAUAUGAGGCCUGGAUUUGUAAUCCUAGCACUCAGGAGGCUGAAGCAGGAGGAUUCUGAGUCUGAACUUGGGCUGCAUGAUAAGACACUGUUUCAAGCCCAGUAGAGGAGGGCGCACACCUUCAGUCCCCGCACUUGGGAGGCAGAGGCAGGCGGAUCUCUGAAUCUGAGGCCAGCCUGGUCUAUAGCUUGAGUUCCAGGACAGCCAAAGCUACACACAGAGAAACCCUGUCUCGGGAUAAGAAAAAAGCCAAAGAACACCGUUUCAGAAAAGUACACCAGAGGCUGAGGAUGUAGCUCAGCUGAUGCAGCGCCUGCCUCACAUUCGUGAAGCCUUGCAUUUGAUCCUCAGCACCAGUGUUGCUAAGACUCCUUCCCAGGGCUGGACGUAAGCAACAUCUCCCUUCCUCAGGUCCCAAUGACAGACAGAGACACAACUGCACCAAAGUUCACUCUGGGACGUACAGAUGACCCUGGCAUGCGGCAAGUUGAUAGCACCUCAUCAACACUCCUGCCAUCAGAGACCAGGACACACCUGCUGGCUUUUUCUGAAGAGCACACCACAGGCAUUCCGGACAAGGCUGCAACUAUGGGGUGGCUCUGCCUGUCAACUCAAACUCAGUCCAGAUGUGACAUUCCACUGAAGCCUUUCUGCAGAGGCCCCGCCCCAGCAAAGAACCAGCUGGAAAGACUGCUGGAUCUCCCUUCCUCUUAUCAGACCAAGGCCUGGGCCCUGCUCAGUAAAGCAUGAAGGAGCCUCCCUCCUCCCUCCCCCGUCUCCCUGGAAGCCACAGGCACAGGGUACACUUUUAAAUUAUGGAGUAGCUUCCUCUGCCCCUCUCAGAAAGACCCAGGCGCCCCAACUAAAUAAUUCAGCACCUUGGGAAGACCCAGUGGAUCCUGACACAGCUGAAGUAGGUCAGGCCAUGACUUGGCUCUGGGAGGGGGCUGUCAAGCACACAACAGGCUCCUUCUCCAUGCUAGAAGGAGCUGCAGGCUAGGAAGGCCCUUGCUUGCUUGGCAAGACCACAUACCAGUGAGGGGUACUACAAAGACCCCAUUCCUUCCCUUCCUGGUACAAAUGCGGGUACAUCCCCUCCUGAAUUUCCCUCUGGGGUUCAGGUAACCUGCCCACCUGCACCCCAAGUUACCCUAAAGCCUGUGUUUGCCUGUGCCCCUCCUACCCACUCAGCACCUGGAUACAUGUCAGCCCUGAUCCAUAUGUCAACAGUUAACACCCUAGACCCAAGCCACACAAGAGAAGGGGUGAAGGUGCUGGAGUCAUCUGAGGUGCGACCAGGGCCAGCAGCCACAGCCACUGCCACUUUGCUAGGUGGGGGCAGCAGGAGACAGGCUCUGUCUACUGGCCCCGCCCUGCAGGACCAGGAUGGACAAAAAGCCAACUCAGAAAGGCAGCCCUCCAGUAGGGGCUGGAAAAGAUCUCAAGCCGCUUCUCCUACUAAACUGAAACACCGUAUCCCAGAGGAGCCGGGGUGGCCACAGGCCUCCUGACCACCCUGUCCAUGCCAGCCCAGACUCUCAGCACAGCCCACCUCGGGGACCUUCUCUCUUCCCAGCUAUCAGCCAACAGUACAGGGUCAGCAAUUACAACAGCCACCUCCAGACAUCACCCACAGUCCGAAGCAGCCGAACAUCCGAGCUGAGGUUAAAGGUAGAGCACGGACAUGCUUGUAAAAUAAAACAGAAUUGCACAAUUUA
Long non-coding RNA from Peromyscus eremicus (cactus mouse), 1978 nucleotides. RefSeq lists it as uncharacterized. The record is from RefSeq and is a predicted model, not a curated record. The transcript is spliced from 5 exons. Lineage: Eukaryota; Metazoa; Chordata; Mammalia; Rodentia; Cricetidae.